This 65-nucleotide transfer RNA is filed under the name uncultured Fodinibius sp. It matches the Rfam family "tRNA", at positions 5 to 66 of the family's 71-position model. From Rfam's summary of the family: Transfer RNA (tRNA) molecules are approximately 80 nucleotides in length. Their secondary structure includes four short double-helical elements and three loops (D, anti-codon, and T loops). Further hydrogen bonds mediate the characteristic L-shaped molecular structure. tRNAs have two regions of fundamental functional importance: the anti-codon, which is responsible for specific mRNA codon recognition, and the 3' end, to which the tRNAs corresponding amino acid is attached (by aminoacyl-tRNA synthetases). tRNAs cope with the degeneracy of the genetic code in two manners: having more than one tRNA (with a specific anti-codon) for a particular amino acid; and 'wobble' base-pairing, i.e. permitting non-standard base-pairing at the 3rd anti-codon position. Lineage: Bacteria; Pseudomonadati; Balneolota; Balneolia; Balneolales; Balneolaceae. The record is from RNAcentral.
CCGUAGCUCAACUGGAUAGAGCGUCUGACUUCGGAUCAGAAGGUUAAGGGUUCGAAUCCUUUCGG